This 520-nucleotide long non-coding RNA is filed under the name Ananas comosus (pineapple). RNAcentral's name for it is "long non-coding RNA (ACOM_LNC028482)". The record is from RNAcentral. Lineage: Eukaryota; Viridiplantae; Streptophyta; Magnoliopsida; Poales; Bromeliaceae.
AAAAAAAGGAAGAAAUAUAAUAUGGUUAUGAGACCAAUAUUGCAUUGUGUGUGUAUAUAUAUAUAUAUAUAGAGUGAGAUUACUAUGCUAUCGGAAGCACGGAGUCUUCCGUGCUUCCAGCUCGUUUUCGAUGUUGCAGCUUUCGAAUCGUCGAUCGGCUCCGUUAAACUUGAUCUAGAGUAUUUGAAGUACCUAAAAAAUAAAUUUUAUGAUUUUACGAUAUCAUUUGCCUAGUGAACGAAGAGGCUCAAAAUCAACGGCUGAAAAUAAAAAUCUUACAAAAUGUAAUAAUAUGACAUUAAAAUUUUAAAUCAAAGAUAUUGAUCUUGUUUUAUAUAGUAUAAAAAAUUUUCUAUCAAAAUUUCACGUGAUUUGGAUAUUUCUACACCGUUAAACUUGCAAACGGCUCACUACGGCCAUUAAAAUUAUUUGAUUUUGAGCCCCUUCGAUCACUAGGCAAAUGAUAUUGAAAAAUCAUAAAAUUUAUUUUCUAAGUACUUCAAAUACUCUAGAUCAAGUU